Molecule: RNA transcript, 2327 nt
Organism: Mya arenaria
Lineage: Eukaryota; Metazoa; Mollusca; Bivalvia; Myida; Myidae
Gene name: serine/arginine-rich splicing factor 3-like
Exons: 5
Source: RefSeq, a predicted model, not a curated record
CAAAAACAGACAGUAACCAGUCAAAAUAUAAAAAAGGGUCAGGAGGAAUUGAAACGUAAUAUUCUCAAAAAUGUCAGCCACUCGAGAUUGGAAUCUUGAUUGCAAAGUGUAUGUGGGGGAGAUAGGUUAUGGUACAGUUAAACAAGACUUGGAAGAUGUUUUCUCCGAGUAUGGCCCUCUGAAAAAUGUGUGGGUGGCCCGCAACCCUCCAGGCUUCGCAUUUGUUGAGUUUGAAGAUUACCGAGAUGCAAAAGAUGCUGUGGACGCCCUAGAUGGAACGCGUAUAAAUGGUAGACGAGCGCGGGUAGAGAUGUCGUCUGGGAAGUCGCGCUGGGGCAGCCAGGGUCCACCACCAAGAAGAGGGCCUCGAUAUGGAGGCGGGGACCGUCGCAGAUCCAGGGUCAAGUCACUCCACUCAGUCAUCCGUCUCAACAAACAACAUUAUCUCCCCUUGAUACUCAUCCCCAAUCAACGAUCUGCCAUUCAACUUAAAAUCUCUCAUCUCGAUUGGGUUGGGUCAGCUGCAGCGCUUAGCAACGUCUGUCGUCAAAACAACGACCUAUUGACCUUUGUUGACAUUGAUCAGCACAACUAUUAACAACCUUUCAACCAUAGAAAAAUUAUGCAGCCAAAAUAUACCAACUUUAAAACAACUUAACUGCAAAGAUGUGCUAUGUGGUUUUGUUUGAAGCUCAGACAAUUAUAUGUAAUAUAAAAUAAUAGACUUUAUAAUACCCCUGGCCGCAAUAUUGUAAGACUUCUGAAGGCAAUUCUCAAUCUCUACUCAUUUUACCACAGAACUGCACAGAAUGAUUCAAAAUGUGGUAUGUUUUACUGUUUUUAAAAGCGCAUUCUCUCAUAGGUUUUGUUGAUAAAAGUCAAUAUUUAACAGGAAAAUAAUUCUGGAGCAAAAAUUCUUUAUUUUGUAGUUAUUGUUCAAGUGCAUUUUGUGUUCUAGAAUUUUUUUUUUAGGUUAUUGAGUAAUGAUGUUUAUCAACAUAAUACGUGAGAGAUUGUGCCUUUUGAAAGACUAAAUCAUUGGUUAUUUUGAAUCAUGCCAUGCUUUAAAGCGGAAAAUUUAAUUGAGUUUGAAACAUGACUAGAGAAUUUCGUGAUAUUGGGGCCUGGGUUUGAAGCCUGUGAUAUGGUCAUGUUUGUUUUAUCUGAUCACCUAUUCAUCUGAAAAAGUUAAAUAGACAUGUAUUUAGAUAAGUGCUGAUAUAAUUCCAGACAAGUCCUUGUCAGAAUAAAGAAGUAAUUUGGAAGUUGGUAAGGGUCCAAUGUUUUGCCCGUGCCAUCUAUUCGCCCAUCCUGUUAUUAAUAAAAUGGUUGUUAAGCAAUUCCAGUAUGAUUUUUUUCAUACAAAUAAUACUUUGUACUCAGAUGAAGCUUCAAAAUAGGAAACUAAUAUUUUUCCUCGGAAAAUAAGCUAUUCAUCAGCAAUAUUGAAAUUGCACUAUAUUUUUCCCAGUGUGGGAUAUUCGAUUUUUACCAUUCAACAAUAACGAACAUAUUUCACCUUUAAAUUCCUGUGUAAACAGAGUAUUAUGUUAGAUUUGAUAGAAUAUAGAAAGAAACAAAUGUUAUCAAUCAGGAAUAUUGUUUGAACUUUUUAAGAAAUCAGAUUUUUCUGAAGUGGGCCAGUUAUUGGUACAGUACACUGUCAUUUCCCAGUGGUCGAAAUUAACACAAGCCUGCAAUUCCUUCACAAGUUAAAAAUGUCUUCCCGGCUUGUUUAAAUUCUGAAUUUUAUGUAGCAGGGCUUGUUAAAAUAUUUGAUGCCAAGCAAUAGAAUAAGAAUUCGGGCUUGUUCAUCCAAAAGUCUAAUUUGAUUGACUAAUUUCAGUGGAUUUAUCAUAUAUAAUCAUACAUGAUCUAUAAUCAUACAUAUCUAAAAUGAGGAGCCCAAAUUUUCAUUCAAUAAUAUUCUGUUUUUCAAGGAAAACCUCCACUUCUGGGCAAUAAGGGGUCUCCUUCCAGUAUAACUGUAAUAGCAUAAAAAUGGAUUUGUUUUAAAGUUACGUGUUGUGUGAACUAUUGUUCAGAUAUUUUUCAAAAUCUUCAUUUUUAAGAAAUUUGACAACAAACCUGCUACAUGUAUAUUGUUAUAGCCGAAACAAAUUUUUUUACAUAAAAUUUCAUUCAUAUAAACUAAUCUUAUACAUUUACCCUGCUCAAGCAUGGCUUUUAAGGUUUCAAAUGAAUGCCACCAUUUUUAGUAUCUAAAUCUCAUACCAAGUAUCUGAAAUGUCAUUUUCAUGUAACUUAAAGAAAGUCAUGCUUGAUAUGAAUCACAAUGAUCAAGUUCAUAAAUAUUGAUUGGAUGU